CUUGGGCUCUGAGUUUAAUUACACCGAAGAUGAUUUCUGGAUUGCCUCCCUUGAGGCACAUGGAAAUUAGAUUCUUCAGUGGAGCAUGCUCUGGUCGAUGAAAAAGUAAGUGACACUUGUCAUCUCCGGGUGGAAGCUGUAAGAGCCAGUGCAUCAUUUACUACCUUUUGUUUCCUGCCUUGGCAACCAUGAAUGGAGCUUCUAUCAGCCCAAGUCCCUGAGCAGAGCAGAGCCCUCCUGCAGACCUCCAGUGCACAUGAAGCAUAACCAAGAAACAAACUUUUGUUAUGUGAAGUAACUAAGAUUUGUGGCCCACUCUUACCGAAAAAUCAUAAUAAAAUCCCCUAAAAAAUAA
Molecule: long non-coding RNA, 355 nt
Organism: Suricata suricatta (meerkat)
Lineage: Eukaryota; Metazoa; Chordata; Mammalia; Carnivora; Herpestidae
Exons: 2
Source: RefSeq, a predicted model, not a curated record